CUACGGGUGGCUCCAGUGGGGAAUAUUGCACAAUGGGCGCAAGCCUGAUGCAGCCAUGCCGCGUGUAUGAAGAAGGCCUUCGGGUUGUAAAGUACUUUCAGCGGGGAGGAAGGGAGUAAAGUUAAUACCUUUGCUCAUUGACGUUACCCGCAGAAGAAGCACCGGCUAACUCCGUGCCAGCAGCCGCGGUAAUACGGAGGGUGCAAGCGGUAAUCGGAAUUACUGGGCGUAAAGCGCACGCAGGCGGUUUGUUAAGUCAGAUGUGAAAUCCCCGGGCUCAACCUGGGAACUGCAUCUGAUACUGGCAAGCUUGAGUCUCGUAGAGGGGGGUAGAAUUCCAGGUGUAGCGGUGAAAUGCGUAGAGAUCUGGAGGAAUACCGGUGGCGAAGGCGGCCCCCUGGACGAGGACUGACGCUCAGGUGCGAAAGCGUGGGGAGCAAACAGGAUUAGAUACCCGAGUAGUC
RNAcentral lists this ribosomal RNA (464 nucleotides) under uncultured bacterium. RNAcentral's name for it is "partial 16S ribosomal RNA". It matches the Rfam family "Bacterial small subunit ribosomal RNA", at positions 339 to 795 of the family's 1533-position model. The record is from RNAcentral.